GUUCAUGGUCAGACACUCAGACUGACGACGACAGCGACAGCGGCCUGUGCUGUGCUCCGGGCUCCGUGCUGCGCUCCCUGACUCCGAGCACUGAGACUUCCACUGUCACCGCGACUAGUCUUGUUGCUUCACGUUUGACACCCAGCAACAAAAGAUUGUGGAGACGAGGAGCGCCUCCUAGUCGCAGACCGCGCCGCCACCGGCGCCCAGCUCCACGUGCGAACAGCGACGUGCUGCGGACAGGAAUCCCCAGCAGCCGACUUCUGCAGGUACCGCCAUGGAGUCGUGGCUGACGGACGUGAAGCGGGUGCGCAUCCCGAGGCCCAAGUUCGCGAGCGCGCGCUACCCGCGGGAGCCGCCCAAGGACUACUGCGGGGGCGGCGCCGCUUCGGCCGGAGACGCCGGGCGUCCCGACGCCGACCAGCAGCGCAGGGACGCCGCCAGGGACCUGGCGCGCGCCACCGAGGAGCUGCGCAUAGCCGUCCGGGACAAGCUCUAAAAGGCGCUCCGGUGGGCCAGCCCAAACCUCCGGCCCUGGAAGUCUCGCAGGGCCCAGGUUUCCGUGUCGAGGACACUUUUUUUCUCUCAGUGACUGACUGAUGCAAUGCCUUGAGACCAGCGGCGCCUGCUUUCAAGCUAGGCCACAUAUUACCUCAGGGAAGCUGCGUCCGCGACUUCAGUGCUGUUGCUAACAUUUUUGUUUCCUAACUAACAAACCAGUGACAAAAAAAUAGUUGAGAAAAGAGUGUCUCACUGGCCUGCAGAGUCCCCUUCUAUUUUGUGCAAUGUGGACCCGAUUUCAGUGUUAGAAGCAGUCAUUACAUUCAUCAAGCGACCGUUAAUGCGUCACCAGUUGGAAGUGAAUGUGUAGCGCUACGAUGAAGACUGGCGGCACUCACAUGCUGCAGAUUUUAAUUUACGGACUUUACGACAUUCCAUCUGUGCUUCCAGAGUCACUUUUUUCGGUUUGUUUUCUUUAGUCAUCCCCUUUCGUAAUUGUCCUGUAGAUGGCUACAGCGCACUUCCUAGAACUAACUAACGUGGAUUUAAACAAGCAAAUUCAAGAAAAGAGACAAAGCAUCGCUCUCGGCAACAGUUGUUAUAAGAGAUUUCAACGACUCAUAGAAGCUUGAAUUACAGCUCCCACUGUUUCACAGCCGUUAGUGACGUAAUUUCUCAAGUUCUACACACUACGCAAACACUGAAAGCCCGUUUCUCUGCGAAACAUUACCUGACCACGAAUAUAAAUCAUGUCCAUCACGAUCGCCAGACCUCAGCCCAUUUGUUUCCUUUCUGCGACUGUUCGUUAAAAUUUCUUAUCUGCAGUACCUGUAAUCUACUUCGCCAAAUUGAAGUAGUCGUUAUAGACCUAUUUCAGGGUAAAAUGUUUGAGUUUUUAGAGGUUACGAAGAUAUGGCAUAAUUUUAAUCAAUUUAAUCCUACUUCUACAUUUAUUUUGUAAAUAUUUCUCAAUUACUCUGAUAUCUAGCAGUGUAAUAAGUCGCAUGAAUGUUUUACGUUGUCACUUUAUUUCCUACUGAGUAUAUGUUAACACAGUACCGAACCAAAAGCGCGAACGUAUUUGUUGAGAACAAUUUUCAUAGUUUUAUACUGUCGUUACAAGUUCACAUACAUUUUUAAACAAAUGAAAACAUAUAAUCAGUUGUUAACAAUUUUGUACACACUAAUGUAAAUAAAACAAAAAUAGACAAUUC
Molecule: long non-coding RNA, 1715 nt
Organism: Schistocerca gregaria
Lineage: Eukaryota; Metazoa; Arthropoda; Insecta; Orthoptera; Acrididae
Exons: 4
Source: RefSeq, a predicted model, not a curated record